RNAcentral lists this ribosomal RNA (252 nucleotides) under uncultured bacterium. RNAcentral's name for it is "partial 16S ribosomal RNA". It matches the Rfam family "Bacterial small subunit ribosomal RNA", at positions 524 to 776 of the family's 1533-position model. The record is from RNAcentral.
UACGGAGGAUGCGAGCGUUAUCCGGAUUUAUUGGGUUUAAAGGGUGCGUAGGCGGAUUCUCAAGUCAGCGGUCAAAACCCGGGGCUCAACCCCGGCCUGCCGUUGAAACUGGGAAUCUUGAGUGAGCGAGAAGUAAGCGGAAUGCGUGGUGUAGCGGUGAAAUGCAUAGAUAUCACGCAGAACCCCGAUUGCGAAGGCAGCUUACCGGCGCUCAACUGACGCUGAGGCACGAAAGUGCGGGGAUCAAACAGG